Non-coding RNA from Myotis davidii, 74 nucleotides. NCBI's taxonomy places the organism in Eukaryota, Metazoa, Chordata, Mammalia, Chiroptera, Vespertilionidae. The record is from Rfam.
GGGGGAGUGGGGGAGUCCCUCAGCCUGGAUUGGGAGAGGGCUCAGGCCAUGCUGAGGGACCCCACUGGUGCACA